This 253-nucleotide ribosomal RNA is filed under the name uncultured bacterium. RNAcentral describes it as "partial 16S ribosomal RNA". It matches the Rfam family "Bacterial small subunit ribosomal RNA", at positions 524 to 776 of the family's 1533-position model. The record is from RNAcentral.
UACGGGGGGGGCAAGCGUUGUUCGGAAUUACUGGGCGUAAAGGGUUCGUAGGUGGCUUGCUAAGUCAGACGUGAAAUCCCUCAGCUUAACUGGGGAACUGCGUCUGAGACUGGCAAGCUUGAGUGCAGGAGAGGAAUGCGGAAUUCCAGGUGUAGCGGUGAAAUGCGUAGAUAUCUGGAGGAACACCGGUGGCGAAGGCGGCAUCCUGGACCGACACUGACGCUGAGGCGCGAAAGCUAGGGUAGCAAACGGG